GGUUGCGAUCAUACCAGCACUAAUGCAUCGGAUCCCAUCAGAACUCCGUAGUUAAGCGUGCUUGGGCGAGAGUAGUACUAGGAUGGGUGACCCCCUGGGAAGUCCUCGUGUUGCAACCCC
Molecule: ribosomal RNA, 120 nt
Filed under: Helianthus annuus (common sunflower)
Lineage: Eukaryota; Viridiplantae; Streptophyta; Magnoliopsida; Asterales; Asteraceae
Source: RNAcentral